RNAcentral lists this ribosomal RNA (253 nucleotides) under uncultured bacterium. Its description in RNAcentral is "partial 16S ribosomal RNA". It matches the Rfam family "Bacterial small subunit ribosomal RNA", at positions 524 to 776 of the family's 1533-position model. The record is from RNAcentral.
UACAGAGGGGGCAAGCGUUGUUCGGAAUUACUGGGCGUAAAGGGCGCGUAGGCGGCCUGUUAAGUCAGACGUGAAAUCCCUCGGCUCAACCGGGGAACUGCGUCUGAUACUGGCGGGCUUGAAUUCGGGAGAGGGAUGUGGAAUUCCAGGUGUAGCGGUGAAAUGCGUAGAUAUCUGGGGGAACACCGGUGGCGAAGGCGGCAUCCUGGACCGACAUUGACGCUGAGGCGCGAAAGCCAGGGGAGCAAACGGG